Felis catus (domestic cat) is the source of this 85-nucleotide transfer RNA. It matches the Rfam family "tRNA". From Rfam's summary of the family: Transfer RNA (tRNA) molecules are approximately 80 nucleotides in length. The record is from Rfam. Lineage: Eukaryota; Metazoa; Chordata; Mammalia; Carnivora; Felidae.
GCCUGAGUGGCUCAUUCGGUUGAGUGUCCGACUUCGGCUCAGGUCAUGAUCUCGCAGUUCGUGGGUUCGAGCCCCGCGUCGGGCU